AUGGAGCUGCUGAUGCAAAGUUUUGGAUCACUGUGGUGGACUUUUGGUGGAGGAACCAGACUGGAGUUUGGAAGUGAUGCCCCGCCCUCCCUGACAGUGCUGGCCCCCUCCAUGGAGGAGCUGCAGCAGGGGAAGGCCACACUCAUGUGUGUGGCCAACAAGGGCUUCCCCUCAGACUGGACUCUGUCCUGGAAGGUGGUCGGCAGCAGCAGCAGCAGCAGGGAGGAGAGCAGGAGCCCCGGGGUGCUGCAGAAGGACGGCCUCUACAGCUGGAGCAGCACCCUGAGGCUCUGUGCCGACCAGUGGGAGAAGGUGACCUGUGAGGCCAAGAGGGGAUCCCAGACUCCAGUCUCAGAGACUCUCAGGAGAGACCAGUGCUCCCAGUCCUGAACUCAGACAUGCUGAUGGAAAUCUGCUUUCUGUGCACUUCUUCUUUAUUCUCUUUCUCAAACUAUGUUUUCACAUUUUUUACAGUUUGGCUUGGCAUAAUUAUCUUCAAAUAAAAAUCUUUUUGUCAACUGACUUCUGUUUUAAUGACAAAAUCAAAUUAUUGUUUUACUGUCGUGUUACAUUUUGUGAGGAAUAAACUGAAACACAGAAAAAAGUUUAACCCCUUCA
Molecule: non-coding RNA, 618 nt
Organism: Oryzias latipes (Japanese medaka)
Lineage: Eukaryota; Metazoa; Chordata; Actinopteri; Beloniformes; Adrianichthyidae
Source: the annotation of a RefSeq genome assembly